UUGAACGCUGGCGGCAGGCCUAACACAUGCAAGUCGAGCGCGAAAGGUUUUCGGACUGAGUAAAGCGGCGGACGGGUGAGUAACGCGUGGGAAUCUGCCCAGUAGUGGGGGACAACAGCCGGAAACGGCUGCUAAUACCGCAUACGCCCUACGGGGGAAAGGGGGGGAUCUUCGGACCUCUCGCUAUUGGAUUAGCCCGCGUCGGAUUAGCUAGUUGGUAGGGUAAAGGCCUACCAAGGCUACGAUCCGUAACUGGUCUGAGAGGAUGAUCAGACACACUGGGACUGGGACACGGUCCGGGCUCCUGCGGGAGGCAGCAGUGGGGAAUAUUGGACAGUGGGGGCAACCCUGAUCCAGCCAUGCCGCGUGUGUGAAGAAGGCCUUAGGGUUGUAAAGCACUUUCAGUGGGGAGAAAGGUUUGUCACCUAAUACGUGAUGAAAUUGAUGUUACCCACAGAAGAAGCACCGGCUAACUCCGUGCCAGCAGCAGCCGCCG
Molecule: ribosomal RNA, 496 nt
Filed under: uncultured bacterium
Lineage: Bacteria
Description: partial 16S ribosomal RNA
Rfam family: Bacterial small subunit ribosomal RNA
Source: RNAcentral